RNAcentral lists this long non-coding RNA (2610 nucleotides) under Capsicum annuum. Its description in RNAcentral is "long non-coding RNA (CANN_LNC000315)". The record is from RNAcentral. Lineage: Eukaryota; Viridiplantae; Streptophyta; Magnoliopsida; Solanales; Solanaceae.
GAGAUAGUAAUUAUUCUAAAAUGUAACUCAAUAUAAAAUAUAAAUUAAAUCAAAGAUGAUAAAGAAGAACAAUUUCAGUUACAAUCUUAGACUCCUAAUUUGCGGGACUCUGAGGCUCUGCGAUCCUAAUUGCGGUUGACCCGAUGCUGGGUCAAAAUGAGAGUUCCGUUGUGAAACUCCAACUCCCAAGAUACAUGAGACAAAUAAAAGAGAUAAAGAUUAGUAAGGAUUAAAAAUAUACUUGAUAAAGUGAACUAAAUGAUAAAUACUGGAAUAAUUCUGAGUCGCGUUGCACACAGAGUUAAGGAGCAAACAUAGCUACAAUGUAUAUUAAGAAUUAUGUAGAGCAACAGGAGGUAUCACAUACAUUUGUUUUUCAAAAAAUGACACUGGGAUCUUAGUUACUAAUCCCACAAUUAAAUUACCACAACACAUUUUGAGCCCCAUUGAGGCAAAUAAUGCUACUAUAAACUACCAACAAAAAUAAUUAAAAAAAAAAAAAUUAGGACCCCCAAAAAAAUCUUUUCUUUUGUCUUUACUUACUUAAACAUUCAAGCUUCCCCUUUUUUAAGAAUUAACAAGACACGUCAAUCAAUGGGACCAAGUUAAUUUUGGCAAAACAUAUUUCAUGGGCACACAUAUUCAAAGUGCAUUACACAGAGAUACUUGGUUUUUGCAAUAUGGUUCGGAAGUACCUCUCACACGUCAAUUCAUAUAUUUAUAAUCUCACAUGUUCACCUAAAAGGGAGUCUUCAGAAAAAUGUUGACAGAAUUCAAGAGAUAACCCAGCGAAUAUUUAUAAUCUCACAUGUUCAACUAAAAGGGAGUCUUCAGAAAAAUGUUGACAGAAUUCAAGAGAUAACCCAGCGAAUGGACUCAAAAUUCUUUUUUACUAAUCAAAAUAUAGAUAGGAAAAACAACACAUAAGUAGCAAAUCCUUCGUGUUGAUAGGCGACAGAAAGCUGAAAUAUGCAUGGACACCAAGAAAAUAAUUAUAUCUAUAAUCAAUCACGAGUUUAACCAUAUUCCUUGAGUUUGCAAAUAGAACCAUGGCAUUGAAGUUUUUAGUUGCUAAAUUCACAAGUAGAAUAUUUAUGAGUAAAGCUUUGCGAAAACGUUAGAAACCAAAACAAAGUAGACAACAUUUUGUUGACGGGAGGGCUGCCGAGAGGAGAGAAAAAAAAAAAAGGAUUUAGCAUAUUCCGACUCACAGCUACUUUUAUUUGAAACUCAUCUUGGAAUUAACCGCAAGUGUUGGUCACCCCAAAUUCACUCAACUGCUCUUAAAGAUCAAAAUUCCACACCAAUUUUAAAGCUUUGAAUUGCAAAACAUGGUGCUUAAUGGGGACACAUGAUGCCAUGCAUAACUCAGACAUAAACGAUGGAUAAGGGAACACAUAGUGGGAUAGAGCACUUAAUGCUUGCUUAGUUCUACAACAAUACGUAAAAAGCAAUUUCAUGGAUGAGGAAAACUAGAAAAUCGCCUAACCUUCUUCUUAAUGCAUUUUGUUCUUUACCUCUGAAAAGGUAUUUCCGAAACUAAGUUAUUUUAGUUACUGGUUGAUAACAGAUUCUAAAAAAUUCACAAAUAUAUUUCAGCAUUUUCGCUUAUUGUGGAACGCAUCGGGAUUUCUCAAACAGCAAAAACAGUGGCACCGAAUGCCAUAAUCAGAAUUUGCAACAAAGUCAUCCCGUACACUCACAAAUCAGUCCAGGUCAUAGGUGAAAAAGAUGAAACCAAAGCCUUUAAAACUCAAAAUAAGAAACACCAACACCACAUAACUUGAAACCGAAACAAACAAACAUUCACAUGUUUAUGCCAAGAUUGCCAUAACUCCUCAAAACCGAAAUUAUAUUCGUCGGGAGUAAUCAGAAAGGCUAUAUUAACGCAAUCUUGAUCACCGCAAAACAAAAAAUUAAAUUCUUAUAGAGCUAAAAUAAAAAGGGAAAAUCAAAGGGAAGAUUCGCACCUUUUUUUGGGCAGCAAACUAAAGCUUUGUGUCAACAAUUUCCAGUGACUUCGAAACUUAACCACGGGACUUUUCUUGUUUUUACACCUUCUGAAAAACUCUAACGAUUUAUUUUUUUUGCUCUAUCUCUCCAAAUUUUCUCACGAAUUUCUUCUUGUUUUCCUCCCUUUUUUCACUUCUUUUUUUUGCUGAUCUUGAACUUGUCCCCAUGGAGAUGGAGAACCUUCAAUUUAUAGGUGAAUCCGGACUUGGAAACUCAAAUUAAGCAAAUAUGAUAAAAAAAAACUUAGUUUGAAAUUGAUUCGAAGUUCUGAACGAAUAUCUUAUUUUCCAGGCCAUUAAAUGGCGAUUUGAAACCUUUUUUUCCGUUGUUAUACAGAUUUAGCACUGAUUUUUCUGUCUUCGAAAGGAUUUGUCUGUUGGAGGGGCUGAUUUGGGGAGAAUCUUGGGUAGGGACGGUAUCUGCGUCUGCAUGGCCGCAGACUAUGGUAAUUAGGGUUGUGGCAUUUGUUGGAGGGGUGUUGAGGAGGAUGAAGAAGAUGGAGAAAGCCGUUUGAAUUUUUUGUGUGUGUUGGGAAAGACGGAUGGGAAAGGUCGAUGACCUUUUGGGGAAGAGGACUUCACGUGAUUAUGAAUUUUG